This is a long non-coding RNA of Wasmannia auropunctata (little fire ant), 1315 nucleotides long. RefSeq lists it as uncharacterized. The transcript is spliced from 3 exons. Lineage: Eukaryota; Metazoa; Arthropoda; Insecta; Hymenoptera; Formicidae. The record is from RefSeq and is a predicted model, not a curated record.
AAAGGGGUAGCGACUCGGUCCAUAUAAGACCAGAACAUCUUCUGCCAGAUAUCUCUACGAUUUGUCACAAGGAAAACCUUUGUGUAAUUAAUUCUCCGAAAAAAGACUUUUCUUUAAGUUACUAAAAUUUAUUAAUUUUUAUAGUAUAGUUUAAAUUUUUUUUUAUAUCACAGUUACAAAAGCUUUGAUAGUGAAAAUUAAUUUGAGAAAAUAGAAAAAUAUAUCGGAAUAAUAUUUCUUUCACUUUACGUAUCUUUUAUUUGUUAACAAUGUAUUAUUAAAAGAUGCACAUUGGACUUGGUCAUGCAUUUUUAAUUCGUCUCGCAUGAUUGAUAAUUGUUUAUAUACCCAUAGAUAAUCGUCAGUCAUAAAUGGCACACGAUCUUUGAGAGCACAUUGAGGAAGCUAUAAACGGUAGAAAAUUGCAUUGUGAGAGUCAUAACUGUCUUCGAGCAAUACGAAAGAUCGAGGUCUCGUAAGAUAGAAUUCAGGAUGUAUAUCUAUGGAAAACCGUCACACCUUAAUACAUAAUUGAUACUCACGAUACAGAUUCCCACAACAUGCAUCCUUGAUACAGCGUUCCCAGGACCUCGACGGACAGUAUAGCCGGAAGAAACGUUGUAACUUUAUGUCAUCUCGCACAUUUGCGUCAUCUUCGGGUCAGCGGAUUGGAAGAAUACCAAGGGAACGUCAUUGAGCACGUUUCCCUCUUUCAUCGCUGGCGAAUCGAAAACUGUGCUUAGGUUGCUUUUAUAUCCUAUCACUUCUUCCUACUUUUAAAAACGUCGUGCUGGUAGGACAGAGCCGUCGAGAGCGGCGACAAGAUUCGCUCUCGUGAUUGUCCGAGGCGCGUGGGAGUGUACCUCAUUCGCGUCCCUUCGGAACAAAGACAUAAAGAGAGUGACUGGUCUUUUGACCAGAGCCUUUCCUUACGUCAGACAGUACGUGAAUUAUUUUACGCGAACAUUUUUAUGGAUAAUUCCAAAGUUGAAAAAAAUCAUGAUUAAUUAUUUGUAGACACAUGGCUUUUAUAUAUUUCCAUUAAAUAAAAUCGACUUAUAAUUUAAAAAAAGAACUGAGCUUUUUAACGCUCAUGGCAUUACUAAUAAUAAUCUUUUUAUCUACAAUUUCAAUCGGACUAUGAUAGAAGUGAGAUAUCAAGUAAGAUAUUAACAUAAAAAAUCAAGAAAUCUUGAAAAGAAUGACUUUGAAUAAAUUUGCGAAAAAGAGAAAUCGAUUAAAAAUGUUUAUCGAUAAAGUGAAUUGUCCGCGAUAUCGAGAUCAUCUGUCAUGCCCGCGGAAUACACGACGGACG